Molecule: ribosomal RNA, 119 nt
Organism: Macadamia integrifolia
Lineage: Eukaryota; Viridiplantae; Streptophyta; Magnoliopsida; Proteales; Proteaceae
Source: RefSeq, a predicted model, not a curated record
GGGUACGGUCACACCAGCACUAAUGCAUCGGAUCCCCUCAGAACUCAGCAGAUAAGCGUGCUUGGGCGAGAGUAGUACUACGAUGAGUGAUCUCUUGGGAAGUCCUCGUGUUGCACCCC